This 2855-nucleotide non-coding RNA is filed under the name Pan troglodytes (chimpanzee). Lineage: Eukaryota; Metazoa; Chordata; Mammalia; Primates; Hominidae. The record is from RNAcentral.
CUCAACCCCUUGGUCUCUCUGAUUCCUUAUGUAUCCCGAUACAUUUCUGGGGGCUCAUCAGGAUUGGAGAUGACAGAUUUACUGUCCCCUUUGCCUGCGAUACUAGGUCCCCGGGGCCAGGAGAGACCCGGCAUCCAAGGUGUGCCACAGCUGAGCUUCACCCGGAUAUAGACCAGCUCUCCCCACGUCCCAGCACCCUGCUUGGCAGCGCAAUGGAACCAAGGAUGGGGCUGCAGGAUGAUACCAGCACUUCAGGAACUGUGACAGAAUCUUGCUCCGCUGCCAAGGCUGGAGUGCACUGGUUCAAUCUCGGCUCACUGCAAACUCUGCCUCCCAAGUUCAAGUGAUUCUCCUGUGUCAGUUUCUUUAGGAAUACAGCACUCCAUAUCGUUACCAUAAUAAUGAAACGGAUUCCCAUGGCUACAGCAAUGAAGCAGCAGAAAAAAAAUGGAGAUGCUGUCAAAGAAAAAAGAGACAGAUCAGAAAAGAAGCAUAAAGGGUGUUUAAGAAAUAAGUAACAUAGCAGGGCGCGGUGGCUCAUGCCUGUAAUCCCUCACGCCUACAAUCCCUCACGCCUACAAUCCCUCACGCCUGUAAUCUCAGCAGUUUGGGAGGCCGAGGUGGACAGAUUGCUUGCGGUAAGGAGUUUGAGACCAGCGUAGCCAACAUGGCGAAACCCCAUCUCUACGAAAAAUUAGCCAGGCAUGGUGGUGAGUGCCUGUAGUCCCAGCUACUUCGGAGGUGGAGGCCGAAGAAUUGCUUGAGCCUGGAAGGCUGAGAUCUCAGUGAGCCGAGACUGCCACUGCACGGGUGACAGAGCGAGCCUCUGUCUCAAAGAAAGAAAGAGUAUGUACCUGGAUAUGUAUUUUUAAAAUAAUGUAAAGAUUUAAAAAUAGUUCGAAGAACCUAAUUGUAUGGCUUUUGAAGCAACUAGAAGUAUGUUCUUUACAGAUGGUGGGAGUAAUGUUAUAUUAAGUUUGUGGAAGCUAUAACACUUAAGUGUUUAUAAGCAUGUUUAUAAGCUGGUGUUUACAAGCAUGUUUUUAUUUCCGAACAAAAUUCAAAGGAAGUUUGUCUUUGUAAAAAUUCAAAUGUGCACAGUUCUUGUUCCGCUCUGAAGAUAUUGGAAAUGUAUUGCUAAUACUGGUAAUAUAUAACAAUUUUUUUUAGGAAUAGAUGACUUAUUUAAUAGUUAUGUAUCUAAAUCUGAAUAUUUUCUAUAUAAUUUGUCUAUGGAAACAAAUAUUUAUACAAUUGUUCACAUAUUGCUCUUUUCUUUCUAAUGUUAUUCCUUCUAGGUAUAAAAUAUAGACGUUCUCAAGAAGAUUAGUGUUUGCAAUAGAAAGCUGGGCCAUUUGGCCACACCUGCAAAUGAUUACUGGUUUUGCGGGAGACUGCAAUCCAUAAAAAAUUACUGGCAGAGUUUGAGAAUUUGUAUAAGAAAACAAAUUUUAUGAGAUGCAAAAUCAAUACUAUUAUACUAAUUUAAAUUUUGUAAUAGCAAAGCUAAUUCUUGUUACUUUUCAGUCUUUCAAUUCACUAAGAUAAUGAGUGUUAUGCACUGAACACAUACAAAUGUAUUGCUGUGACUGAAUGAAGAGGACAAAUUAACAAAGCAAUUCCAAGGCUCUGGAAAUUGAUCAAAGGCUAAUAAUCAUUUGUGAACUAUUUAUUCUUGGAAAAACUGCUAGAGAUUCAAGGAAGAGUGCAGCAAAUUUGUAGUAAGUUUACCUAGUGCUGCUCCCGUGCCUUCUGCCCACCCACUACACCCAGCACAGUGAGUGACAGUUGCAGUUUUUACAGCUUGGGGAAAAUCAACAGUGUGUUUUGCCACAAGGACAGACUUGAUGAGCAGUCAGAGGUUGGGGCAUAGUGUAACAGACCACUGCUUUUCAACUUCAAGUGCUGAAUUUUGCAGGAAAUGAAUGAGAAAACCCCAUUUUUUGUUGUUUUUUGUUUUUUUCAGUCUGAGGUGUAGUCUCCUCUGGGGCAAGAACAGUGCCAGCCAUAAAUAUAACAAAAUCCUAAACAUGAGAAUGCAAUAGACCUCAUGACAUUAGCCCUCUACAUAUUCUUUAAAUUUUUUUUAAAUUGACACAUUGUAAUUGUACAUAUUUAUGGGGUACAACUUGAUGUUCAAUACAUAUAUAUGUUACAUUAAAUAAUCAAAUCAGGGUACUUAGUGUAUCCAUCUACCUCAUGUAUUUAUCAUUUCUUUGUGGUGAGAACAUUCAAAAGCCUCUGUUCCAGCUAUUUUGUAAUAUGCAAUAUCUUACUGUUAACCAUCAUCACCCUACUAUGCAAUAGAACAUAACUUAUUCCUCCUGCCUAACUAUAUAACUUUGUACCCAUUGACCAAGCUCUCACCAUGUCCCCCUCUUUUUCUCUCCUCCAGUCUCUGUUGACCACUGUUCUGGUGUUUUUCUGGUGAUCGCUCUGCUUCUAUAAUAUCAGCUCUUUUUUGCUUUAUUUCUACAUGAGUGAGAUUAUGUGAUAUUUGUCUUUCUGUAUCUGCCUUAUUUCACUUAACAUGAUGCUCAGCAGGUUCAUCCAUGUUGCAUAAAUGACAGGAUUUUAUUCUUGAUUAUUGAAAAAAAUACGCAUAUGUGUAGAGGAGACCAGGGUGAUUCCAGUAAAAAGUAAAAGCCCAAGGAGACUUGAGAACUGAUUGCAAAUUUAUGAACACUUCCUUCACCACAUACACACACACACACACACACACACACACACACACACCGCUAGCACAGAGUGGAGCCUCUACUUACUUAAGGUUUUCGAAUAAACCUUUUAAAAUAAUAUAUUGGCUGACAACCAAGCUAUGCAAUUCACAAGGGCAAUCCCUAGGAAAUGGGGCU